This 1258-nucleotide long non-coding RNA is filed under the name Otus sunia (Oriental scops-owl). RNAcentral describes it as "lncRNA (ENSOSUG00000010573.1)". Lineage: Eukaryota; Metazoa; Chordata; Aves; Strigiformes; Strigidae. The record is from RNAcentral.
CAGGAAUGAGGGUUUAUUUAAAAGGAGAAAAAAAAAAAAGAGCAGAGAGGAGAGCAGGUCCUUUGUCAGCAAAGCAAACAGCCGCCCGGCAGCGGGGCGGUUGGGCAAGGGCGCGGUGUUGCUCCAUCGCCCUAUUUCUGGCCCAAACCGCAGGAGAAAUGGCAGCGGGUCCUGGGGCCCGGCCGGACGUGCCGCAAUCGGGGGCGGGCAGAGGUUGGGGGACGGGGGGAGCCCCCCGCUCCCCGCUGGGCCCAUCCCCAGCGGCACACCUGCCUGCGCUGCCUGCACGGGGCAGCCGGACCGGGGGCUCAGGGUGCAGCUCCCAGCCCGGCUCCAGACCCGCUCCCUGACCCUUCGGCUGCCCGUGCCUGGGUCCCUGCUCCGGACCGGCUCACGAUCGUCCCCCCCACACCGGGGCUGCUCGGUGGCUGGGGCUCCUCGCCCCGGGGAGGGGUUCCUGCGGGGAGCGGGUGGCCCUGUCGCUGCUGUGGUGACAAUCCUUUAGGAAGGGGCUUCCCUGUUCCCCCUGCAGCAGCGGGCUCAGGGGUCUCGCCCCGGUGCAGAGGGACCCAGGAGCACCCGGGCAGGCGCCGGCCCUACGUCCCUUCGCCGAGGGCUCGGCCUCCUGCCUCAGUUCCCCCGUCUGCCCGCGGCGGCCCCGGCUCCGGCAGCAGCGCUCGCUUUCGGAGACCCAAACGCCUGCGACGUGCCGCCCGUGCUGCUGCCCGCUGUGGCUUUGCCAGAGCUGGCAUCGCUCCGGUGCUGCGUCAGCGCCGCGGCAGGGCCCCCCGCCGCCCCCCUCCCCGCCGCGGGUCGCCGGCGGCGCAAGGAAGCAGCGAGGUUUCGGCGCUGCUGGAGCAGCUCCGGGACGAUGGUUCCCAGGGCUGACGGCCCGCAGCUGGCUGCCUGUCAAAACCAUCUGGGGCUGCUGGAGCUCUUCCAGCUCCCGCGGGCAGGGCCGGGGCGUGCGGGACCCCCCGGGACCCCCCGGUGCGACGGGGUUGGCGGAGCGGACGGGUGGAGGUGCGGGGCCUCGCAUUUCAGGAACAGAUUUGCAAUUAGACAAAUCCCCGGCCGGGCGGUGGAAGCCCCGGGUGACUCAUCUGCUCUGGCUUACAGCGAUCCCCUUUCGAAGAUGAUCAUUUACAUAUGGUGGAAUUUAAACCCCAGCUCGCCUGUGAGGGCCAGCGCCGCCACCGCGCCCGCCCGCUCGGCUCCUCGCCCGGGGUCUCGACCCGCCGGUCCCGUGGGCCGUCAC